UAAAACGCUCUAUUAUCUUCA
Molecule: non-coding RNA, 21 nt
Filed under: Caenorhabditis elegans
Lineage: Eukaryota; Metazoa; Nematoda; Chromadorea; Rhabditida; Rhabditidae
Source: RNAcentral